Molecule: long non-coding RNA, 610 nt
Filed under: Linum usitatissimum (flax)
Lineage: Eukaryota; Viridiplantae; Streptophyta; Magnoliopsida; Malpighiales; Linaceae
Description: long non-coding RNA (LUSI_LNC005828)
Source: RNAcentral
AAUAAUAACUUACCAUACAUAAAAUGAAUUUCUUUUAAUAUAAAUAUGUGUACUUGCAACAGUGUCCACUGUCCAGACAUACUGUGGUACAAUUUGGAGUGCAUAAUCCAAAUAUCAUUACUCGCAAGAAAAAAUGGUGAAGAAAAUUCUCCAAUUGUCAUCUUUGGCUAUCAUCUUCCUCCUCCUUACAUCUUGUAAGUAACACACAUUUCAUGUUCACUUCCUAAAUUUAACACUAACUCCAUUUUAGUCAAGUAAAAAAAAUCUGAGAUGUCCAUAUACUGAUUUACACAUAUAUGUAGGUGUUAUAUCAUCACCAUCGUCAAAUGUUAUCAGUGACGGCGUAAAGACUAAUGUACUUCAUUGUACACAAGAUAAAGAUUGUUACCAACUUUCUUGCGUGGAAGGGAAACCCCCAAGGUGCUUGAAUAGUGUUUGUCAAUGUGAGCCGGGCGCGAAAAUAUGAACAACUUGAUAAUCGAUCGAAAUUGACAUGCGGAAAAGAUUGAUGCAAAUAGCAACACCCUUUAUAUGUUGUUGGAUCAAGUAAUUAAUAAAAGCGAGCUUCUAUACUAAACUAUGAAUCUAUAUAUCGCUUAUUCAGUCGUUU